AUGACUUUGUACUCUAGGUUGGAAAAGUACAGGCAAAGCGCUCAGCAUCGGUGUGGUCUCUUCGUAGAGUCUCAAGUUGAUGCUAUUAAAAAUAGACUUGAUAAAAAAUACAACACAUGUGAUGGCUUUCAUGUGCGCGUCAAGUCUAUUGAUGGUUUUCAAGGAGAAGAGGAUGAUAUAUUAAUACUAUCACCGGUAAUAUCCAAUUGGAAUGGAGUUGUUGGGUUUCUUGCUGAUAACCAAAGAACAAACAUUACAUGGGACAAGGGCAAGGCUCUGGAUUUUCUGAAUGAAUCGUUAGGAUAUACAACUGAAGCAAUGACGUCCUGCCGGUGUAUAUAG
Molecule: ribosomal RNA, 342 nt
Filed under: Triticum aestivum (bread wheat)
Lineage: Eukaryota; Viridiplantae; Streptophyta; Magnoliopsida; Poales; Poaceae
Description: partial small subunit ribosomal RNA
Source: RNAcentral